Molecule: transfer-messenger RNA, 413 nt
Filed under: Candidatus Peribacteraceae
Lineage: Bacteria; Candidatus Peregrinibacteriota; Candidatus Peribacteria; Candidatus Peribacterales
Also listed under: 3 other names
Description: GWB1-54-5 sp002787035 Standard tmRNA
Rfam family: transfer-messenger RNA
About the family: Bacterial tmRNA, also known as 10Sa RNA or SsrA, is named for its dual tRNA and mRNA-like properties. Its role is to liberate the mRNA from a stalled ribosome.
Source: RNAcentral
GGGGAUGACAGGUUUCGACAGCGUGAUUUCUAGCGUUCGCUAGCUUCUGUUCGGGAUGGCAACGGUUCCCGAUACCCACUUGUUGCACACUAUAAUUGCCGACUCUCUAGUUAGCAGAGCCAAUCGUAUUGCUGAAGGUGUUCUCGCUCGUAUGAGCUUGACCCCUCAGUUUGCAAUGGCUGCAUAAGUUCGCUCUACGCGAACGCGUCUCUCCUCCCAUCCUCGCGUAAGAGGAAGAGGCGUCACUUAGCGAGGUGAGUAUGAACCUGACGUGAUUCAUACUGACAUAAAGCGUCACCCCUCUCUGCCGAUCUUGGCCUCAUUCUUAUGGCAGCGAGUAUCGAACGAGGCAUGACAGUAUGAGCACGUUCUCUACACGUUGGACCCGGGUUCAAUUCCCGGCAUCUCCACCA